AGCAGCCGCGGUAAUUCCAGCUCCAAUAGCGUAUAUUAAAGUUGUUGCAGUUAAAAAGCUCGUAGUUGAAUUUCGGGAUCAAUAUGUUGGUCGUGCCUCGGUACGUACUAGCAUAUUGGUUUCUCCUUUCUGAAGAACCAUGAUGUCAUUUAUUUGGUGUCGUGGGGAAUCAGGACUGUUACUUUGAAAAAAUUAGAGUGUUUAAAGCAGGCUCACGCUUGAAUACAUUAGCAUGGAAUAAUGAAAUAGGACGUUUGAUUCUAUUUUGUUGGUUUCUAGGAUCGACGUAAUGAUUAAUAGGGAUAGUUGGGGGCAUUAGUAUUCAAUUGUCAGAGGUGAAAUUCUUGGAUUUAUUGAAGACUAACUACUGCGAAAGCAUUUGCCAAGGAUGUUUUCAUUAAUCAAGAACGAAAGUUAGGGGAUCGAAGACGAUCAGAUACCGUCGUAGUCUUAACCAUAAACUAUGCCGACUAGGGAUCGGAUGAUUUAAUUUUU
RNAcentral lists this unclassified non-coding RNA (495 nucleotides) under uncultured Glomus. RNAcentral describes it as "SSU rRNA". It matches the Rfam family "Eukaryotic small subunit ribosomal RNA", at positions 569 to 1070 of the family's 1831-position model. Lineage: Eukaryota; Fungi; Glomeromycota; Glomeromycetes; Glomerales; Glomeraceae. The record is from RNAcentral.